This is a non-coding RNA of Nelumbo nucifera (sacred lotus), 2891 nucleotides long. Lineage: Eukaryota; Viridiplantae; Streptophyta; Magnoliopsida; Proteales; Nelumbonaceae. The record is from RefSeq and is a predicted model, not a curated record.
GGCCAAAUAGGCCCUAGGUCCAUUCGAACCCCAAGUUGCCUAGUUCCCAACCAAGCAUAUUGGGCAAAACCAUCGAUCUAUCCUAUUCAAACAACUUGACACCACCAACAGCGUGUCUCCGUCUCCGGAUUAUCCACCCGUCCACCGCCGCCAUUACCGCUGCUGCGGCCACCGAUAGAUACUCUCUUCUUCUUCUUCUUCUUAUUAUUAUUAUUAUCCAAUGAAGAAACCCAAAAGUGUUAGUUAUCUUUGAAUCUUUGUGCGUAUUCAUCACAGAAAAAUACAAAGGAUUACCGAAUGGCGAAAUACAAAUUUACACCCGCCGGUGGACCCUUUUCACCGCGGGCGUCCCUAUCCCUGUAAAUCAGCCGACCGGUUUCUUCUCCUCCUCCCCCCUUAUUGUUCUUAUUAUUCAUCCUCUUCUUCUUCCACUGAAGAAACCCAAAAAAUGUUUGUUAACUUUGUGCUUAUUCAUCGGCAAACUACAAAGGAUUAGCAUUACAUUUUGGGCAUGUUUAGAUGCAAUUGCCAUUGGCUUGAUUAGUAAUGUUGUUUGCAAUCAUUUACUUGUCUAUUUAUAUAUUUGCUACGGAAUUUCCUAUACAACUAAAAGAAUAUAUAAUCUCUAUGGUGGUUUCUCCAGUUGAAGAUCUAGCCAAUGGGUCAUUCAUUUUACGUUUUAUGUCUAAAUUUCAUUUUUCGUGUCUGAUAUUUGAUUGAUGCAUUACUCUUUCUUUUUCCAUGCAGCCAAUUAUUGAAUUCCAAAAUGCAGAUAUUUAGUAGAAAUAGCCUCACCUAUUUCUUAGCCUUUGUAUCUAAACUAAAACUCCAAACACAUCGAAGGGUUCGUAAGCAAAUGGAGAAAACUCCCUUUCAUCAUCUAUUGCAUACGCUUGAUGUGAACAAUAAUGAUAAGGCAUUGUUAACUGAGCUUGUACAUAGGUGGGACAUGAAAAGUCAGUCAUUUAUAUUAGCAGAUGUUCAUGUCCCUUUGACACCGACUGAUGUUGCUAUGAUAUUGGGAUUGCCAAACAAAGGCAAAUUUGUUGAUCUGUAUAUUGCACCUAAACUAACCGAUCUGCAUGAAGACUUAUUCAAUGGGGCCAAGUUGGACUGGACCGAUGUGGAAUGAAAGACAUCGGAGUUAUUGACGAAGGAUGAACAAGAGCAUGAUUAUAUUGCAAAUCUCCUAGUGUUGUAUAUCUUGGGCCAGUUUUUAUUUACGAGAACUAGUCGAAUCAUUGAUGCAAAAUGGUUUAGGUUUGCUGAAAACCUACAACAAUUGGGAGAAUAUGAUUGAGCAGAUGCGGUGCAUAGGGAGUUAGUGAAGAGUUUGGAUGAAUUAACAUUCACAAGGAUCAAAGAGCCUGAUUCCAAAUCCGGGUGGUUGUGCGGUUGUUCUAUAGUACUAAUUGGGUGGUUAUUUGAGUACACCACUAUCUAUCCUUGUUCGUCCUAGUUGACAGGUAGUGAAUUUCCUCGGUUAGCAAAGUGGGCAAGUUCCACAUUUAGACGAAAGACAACAUAUGGUGAAAGUGUUGGCAACUUAGAUCAGAGAUCAUUGAAGUAUUGCUGCCAGAAAGUAACAAAGAGAAGGUCUUAGUAGAGGAACGUGAUGGUCAGGACUCUAAUAGGCCGUCUUAUGAAUCACUAUGUUCAAGAAUUGGUGAGUUGGAGGCACAAGUUAAACACUUGUCUAAGGAGAACCAAGAAUUACAUGCAAGGCUUAGAGCUCACAUACACCGGCAUGGUUUAAUGAGUGCGAGAAUCAAGUACGCCCACCUGGUUGCAUGCCCUCCACAUCACAUAGAGCUGAGGCCAAGGAAGAGAUUGUCACUAGAAAAAAAAGAAGAUAUCCAAAGCAACCAUUCAUUAUGACUAUAUGUGUUGAUGGCAAACUGCUUUGGUGCAACUAUCAAGAAAAAAAGAAGACAUCCAAAGCUCAUUUGGAAGAAGUUAAGAGAUUCCUUUAUCGGCCUAUUACAGGUGAAAUUGUAUGGGCAGAUGGAAGCAGCCAUUUAAGUGGGAUACAUCUGUAUUCUUUGAUAAGUGGUGAACAUAUAUAUGAUGAUGUCAUAAAUGCAUGUGGUGCUCUCUUGAUUAAGCGACAUCAACAACAUAACAGUGCUAAUGAGCCAGAUAAAUUUUUCUACGUUGUCUUAUGCUCAGGCAAACUAUUAUAAAGCUCAGCUCGUCCAGUUAGGUAUAGAAGGUGUUUGGAAUGUACAAGUUUGUAAAGAUGCUCCUUCUCAGGGUGGAAAUGGCAACGAGUGUGGUGUAUUUCUGAUGAUGUACAUGGAAUGUUUGUCGCGAGGAAGCAAUGUGGACUUCAAUUUGGAUGACACAAAAGUCUUGUGCUGGGAAAUGGCUGAACAAAUUUUAAAAUCGGAGAUCCCAAUGGGUUGGUGAUACAUGUUUUCAGUUCUCUCUGUGAGGAAAAUUAGUUAUUGCAAUGGUUCUCUCUGUCAAAAACAUUGGUUCCCAAGGCUGUUGUUGAUGAUCCCUACCAUAUGUGAUGGUGCUCUAUGGAAUGUAUCAAAUGAUUUGGAAAGGGAGCUUCAAUUUACCUACAAAACUUGGUUCUUCCCGAUGGAGGUGGAUGCAAAAGCAAUAUCAUACUUUCAGAUGUAGCAUUUGUUUUGAUCUCUCUUAAUGGUGAACAAAGAUCGUGUUCGGUGUUUUUUGGACAGGCAUAUCAUAUCUACUAGGGAUGAUUUGUUGAAUUUAUUUUGCUAAAUUCUUAUGUAUAGUAAUUACUGUAAAUACCAAAAAAAUUGUCAUAAGGACUAAUAUGGUGUUGGUUAAAUAUUUUUGGACGAUGAAAUUUAUUACUCACUUGUAAUGUUUUUGACAAUGGCGUGAUUGUUAAUUCCACAUCAACUAUAAUUCAA